Molecule: small RNA, 168 nt
Filed under: uncultured Enterocloster sp.
Lineage: Bacteria; Bacillati; Bacillota; Clostridia; Lachnospirales; Lachnospiraceae
Description: Clostridiales-1 RNA
Rfam family: Clostridiales-1 RNA
Source: RNAcentral
GAUACCAGGGGCAAAAGGCAGGAAAUCCGAUGCAAGCUUGCCUGCAAGAGGAUUUUUGGCCUUGGGACCCGUCAAAAAUGUGAAUAAGCAGCCAUUUUUCGCAGAAAAAUGAGCGGAUUAUGAAUGUUUUUCAGAAUUGCGGGAGCACGCAGUGCGUAGUAAUUCGGU